This 43-nucleotide ribosomal RNA is filed under the name Descolea alba. RNAcentral's name for it is "28S ribosomal RNA". Lineage: Eukaryota; Fungi; Basidiomycota; Agaricomycetes; Agaricales; Bolbitiaceae. The record is from RNAcentral.
AUUUGACCCUCAAAUCAGGUUAGGGNCUACCCGCCUGAACUUA